RNAcentral lists this long non-coding RNA (243 nucleotides) under Brassica napus (rape). RNAcentral's name for it is "long non-coding RNA (BNAP_LNC001240)". The record is from RNAcentral. Lineage: Eukaryota; Viridiplantae; Streptophyta; Magnoliopsida; Brassicales; Brassicaceae.
GAUUAUGAUAUCAUUUUGGGAGAUAGCCAUGAAUAGAUUUGUUAUUUAUUACUGGCUUUGAUAGAGUGUUGAAUUCCGAAACUAACCUGGUCAGCUGCCUACUCUUAUAAACUCCACUAGGCCUGUUUUGGUAAUUACCGCUCUCCUGAAAGCGCGCGCAAUUUUGCCCAUUUAACAGCAUCAUAUUCCUCUGUCUCUCUCUCUCUCUCUCUCUCUCUCAGCUUCUUGGUUUUUCUUGCGAGA